Pseudonaja textilis is the source of this 469-nucleotide non-coding RNA. The record is from RefSeq and is a predicted model, not a curated record. NCBI's taxonomy places the organism in Eukaryota, Metazoa, Chordata, Lepidosauria, Squamata, Elapidae.
UCUUCUAGCCAAUCGUCCCUGUGUUUACACAAAAUACUAGAGAAGGACAUAUAGCAUAUGGAAAUAUAAGACCAAUGAGAUGGUUAUAUGAGCGAACACGAUGGUUCAUCUUUCCAUUAUAUGGAAUGUUUCCUGUUAAACUUAUAACCCAUAUUGGAAAACCAAUUCCAUAUGAUCCAGAUAUAACUGCUGAACAAUUAGCUGAAAAAACUCAAAAGGCAAUAGAAGCUUUACGGGACAAACACCAGAAAAUCCCAGGAAGUAUAUUGCAUGCCAUUAGGCAACGCUUUGAGACAGCUAACAAAGAAAAACAGUGAUAUAACAACAAUAAUCUGUGUAGACAAUAUAUAUAUAUAUAUAUGUUUAGAUAAUAUAUGUGUAUGUGUGGUUUUCUGUUCCCCGAGGCACUUUUGUUAAAAAAAAAUAAUGAAGACACAAGAUUGAGAUGGGGAAAAAUACAUGUUAAUUU